This 497-nucleotide ribosomal RNA is filed under the name uncultured bacterium. RNAcentral describes it as "partial 16S ribosomal RNA". It matches the Rfam family "Bacterial small subunit ribosomal RNA", at positions 28 to 507 of the family's 1533-position model. The record is from RNAcentral.
GAUGAACGCUGGCGGCGUGCCUAAUACAUGCAAGUCGAGCGAACGGACGAGAAGCUUGCUUCUCUGAUGUUAGCGGCGGACGGGUGAGUAACACGUGGAUAACCUACCUAUAAGACUGGGAUAACUUCGGGAAACCGUAGCUAAUACCGGAUAAUAUUUUGAACCGCAUGGCUCAAAAGUGAAAGACGGUCUUGCUGUCACUUAUAGAUGGAUCCGCGCUGCAUUAGCUAGUUGGUAAGGUAACGGCUUACCAAGGCAACGAUGCAUAGCCGACCUGAGAGGGUGAUCGGCCACACUGGAACUGAGACACGGUCCAGACUCCUACGGGAGGCAGCAGUAGGGAAUCUUCCGCAAUGGGCGAAAGCCUGACGGAGCAACGCCGCGUGAGUGAUGAAGGUCUUCGGAUCGUAAAACUCUGUUAUUAGGGAAGAACAUAUAUGUAAGUAACUGUGCACAUCUUGACGGUACCUAAUCAGAAAGCCACGGCUAACUACGUG